UACGUAGGGUGCAAGCGUUACUCGGAAUUACUGGGCGUAAAGCGUGCGUAGACGGUUAUUUAAGUCGGGUGUGAAAGCCCCGGGCUCAACCUGGGAAUUGCAUUCGAGACUGAAUAGCUAGGGUACGGUAGAGGGAAGCGGAAUUUCCGGUGUAGCGGUGAAAUGCGUAGAUAUCGGAAGGAACAUCAGUGGCGAAAGCGGCUUCCUGGACCAGUACCGACGUUCAGGCACGAAAGCGUGGGGAGCAAACAGG
This 253-nucleotide ribosomal RNA is filed under the name uncultured bacterium. RNAcentral's name for it is "partial 16S ribosomal RNA". It matches the Rfam family "Bacterial small subunit ribosomal RNA", at positions 524 to 776 of the family's 1533-position model. The record is from RNAcentral.